GCCCCCGUAGCUCAGGGGACAGAGCAGCUGCCUUCUAAGCAGCGGGUCGUGUGUUCGAAUCGCACCGGGGGCG
RNAcentral lists this transfer RNA (73 nucleotides) under Chloroflexota bacterium. Its description in RNAcentral is "Chloroflexi bacterium tRNA-Arg". It matches the Rfam family "tRNA". Rfam says of the family: Transfer RNA (tRNA) molecules are approximately 80 nucleotides in length. The record is from RNAcentral. Lineage: Bacteria; Bacillati; Chloroflexota.